AGAGGGUGUAAGCGUUAAUCGGGAAUUACUGGGGCGUAAAGGGCGCGUAGGUUGCUAGUUUAGUCAGAUGUGAAAUAUCCGGGGCUUAACCUGGGACAUGCCAUCUGAUACUGACUGGCUAGAGUACAGUAGAGGGAAGUGGAAUUUCCGGUGUAGCGGUGAAGUGCGUAGAUAUCGGAAGGAACAUCAGUGGCGAAGGCGACUUCCUGGACUGAUACUGACACUGAGGCGCGAAAGCGUGGGUAGCGAACAGGAUUAGAUACCCUGGUAGUCCACGCCGUAAACGAUGAGAACUAGCUGUAGGGCACGACAGUGCUUUGUAGCGUAGCUAACGCGCUAAGUUCUCCGCCUGGGGAGUACGGCCGCAAGGUUA
RNAcentral lists this ribosomal RNA (373 nucleotides) under uncultured organism. RNAcentral's name for it is "partial 16S ribosomal RNA". It matches the Rfam family "Bacterial small subunit ribosomal RNA", at positions 527 to 896 of the family's 1533-position model. The record is from RNAcentral.